GAACCGUACGAACGUUAUUCGGAAUUACUGGGCUUAAAGGGUGCGUAGGCGGCUUGGAAAGUUGGGUGUGAAAGCCCUCGGGCUCAACCGAGGGAAUGGCGCCCAAAACUGCCAGGCUUGAGGGAGACAGAGGUGAGUGGAACUUAGGGUGGAGCGGUGAAAUGCGUUGAUAUCCUAAGGAACACCAGUGGCGAAAGCGACUCACUGGGUCUCUUCUGACGCUGAGGCACGAAAGCUAGGGGAGCGAACGGGAUUAGAUACCCCGGUAGUCCUAGCUGUAAACGAUGAGCACUGGGUCGGAGAGCCUUCCAUAGCUUUCCGGCCGAAGCGAUAGUGUUAAGUGCUCCGCCUGGGGAGUAUGGUCGCAAAGGCUG
Molecule: ribosomal RNA, 374 nt
Filed under: uncultured organism
Description: partial 16S ribosomal RNA
Rfam family: Bacterial small subunit ribosomal RNA
Source: RNAcentral